GCAACCAUAGUGUAGUGGUCAACAUGCUCGCCUUCCAUCUAGUGGCUAGCGAGCGGCCCGGGUUCGAGCCCCGGUGGUUGCA
Molecule: non-coding RNA, 82 nt
Organism: Blyttiomyces helicus
Lineage: Eukaryota; Fungi; Chytridiomycota; Chytridiomycetes
Source: the annotation of a GenBank genome assembly